CGGAGGAUCCAAGCGUUAUCCGGAUUUACUGGGUUUAAAGGGAGCGUAGGUGGGUUGGUAAGUCAGUGGUGAAAUCUUCGAGCUUAACUCGGAAACUGCCAUUGAUACUAUCAAUCUUGAAUUAUCUGGAGGUAAGCGGAAUAUGUCAUAUAGCGGUGAAAUGCUUAGAUAUGACAUAGAACACCCAUUGCGAAGGCAGCUUACUACGGAUACAUUGACACUGAGGCUCGAAAGCGUGGGGAUCAAACAGGAUUAGAUACCCUGGUAGUCCACGCCCUAAACGAUGGAUACUCGACAUCAGCGAUACACUGUUGGUGUCUGAGCGAAAGCAUUAAGUAUCCCACCUGGGAAGUACGACCGCAAGGUUG
This 368-nucleotide ribosomal RNA is filed under the name uncultured organism. RNAcentral describes it as "bacterial SSU rRNA". It matches the Rfam family "Bacterial small subunit ribosomal RNA", at positions 526 to 896 of the family's 1533-position model. The record is from RNAcentral.